CGGUGAUUAAUACCGGAUACUCCUUCUUGUUAUAAGACAAGUCGGGAAAGUUUUUCGCUAAGGGAUCAGUCUAUGUUCCAUCAGCUUGUUGGUGAGGUAAUGGCUCACCAAGGCUAUGACGGAUAUCUGGUUUGAGAGGAUGAUCAGACACACUGGAACUGAGACACGGUCCAGACUCCUACGGGAGGCAGCAGUGAGGAAUAUUGCACAAUGGAGGAAACUCUGAUGCAGCAACGCCGCGUGGAGGAUGACGCAUUUCGGUGUGUAAACUCCUUUUAUUAGGGAAGAUAAUGACGGUACCUAAUGAAUAAGCACCGGCUAACUCCGUGCCAGCAGCCGCGGUAAUACGGAGGGUGCAAGCGUUACUCGGAAUCACUGGGCGUAAAGGGUGCGUAGGCUGGCUUUUAAGUCAGAUGUGAAAUCCAAUGGCUCAACCAUUGAACUGCAUUUGAAACUGAAAGCCUAGAGUUCAGAAGGGGCAGAUGGAAUUAGUGGUGUAGGGGUAAAAUCCGUAGAUAUCACUAGGAAUAUCAAAAGCGAAGGCGAUCUGCUGGGAUGAU
RNAcentral lists this ribosomal RNA (560 nucleotides) under uncultured bacterium. RNAcentral's name for it is "bacterial SSU rRNA". It matches the Rfam family "Bacterial small subunit ribosomal RNA", at positions 157 to 738 of the family's 1533-position model. The record is from RNAcentral.